This 484-nucleotide ribosomal RNA is filed under the name uncultured bacterium. RNAcentral's name for it is "partial 16S ribosomal RNA". It matches the Rfam family "Bacterial small subunit ribosomal RNA", at positions 30 to 507 of the family's 1533-position model. The record is from RNAcentral.
AUUGAACGCUGGCGGCAGGCCUAACACAUGCAAGUCGAGCGGAUGAAGGGAGCUUGCUCCUGGAUUCAGCGGCGGACGGGUGAGUAAUGCCUAGGAAUCUGCCUGGUAGUGGGGGAUAACGUCCGGAAACGGGCGCUAAUACCGCAUACGUCCUGAGGGAGAAAGUGGGGGAUCUUCGGACCUCACGCUAUCAGAUGAGCCUAGGUCGGAUUAGCUAGUUGGUGGGGUAAAGGCCUACCAAGGCGUCGAUCCGUAACUGGUCUGAGAGGAUGAUCAGUCACACUGGAACUGAGACACGGUCCAGACUCCUACGGGAGGCAGCAGUGGGGAAUAUUGGACAAAGGGCGAAAGCCUGAUCCAGCCAUGCCGCGUGUGUGAAGAAGGUCUUCGGAUUGUAAAGCACUUUAAGUUGGGAGGAAGGGCAGUAAGUUAAUACCUUGCUGUUUUGACGUUACCAACAGAAUAAGCACCGGCUAACUUCGUG